This is a long non-coding RNA of Bos taurus (domestic cattle), 2899 nucleotides long. NCBI's taxonomy places the organism in Eukaryota, Metazoa, Chordata, Mammalia, Artiodactyla, Bovidae. The record is from Ensembl.
CUUGUCUCCCACUUCUUAGCUGCGCAUCCUGCAAAUAAACUCUGACUUUGCUGCAGAUACCUGCAGUCAAGGUUUGUCUUUCUGUGGCUGUGGGCACAUGAACCCUCCUUAAAUUUUGCAUCAUUGUGUUCCUAAGUCUCCUUAGGAACCUUAGUUUUCCUAAGCCACUCUAGUCUCAGCCCUGCCAGAAGUCAUAGCAUUUUCAUUUAAAAACUUAAAUAUAUGCUUGUUCUUUGUCCUAAUUGCUAGGAAUUCUUCCUUUGGAAAUAAACAGGGUUCUAAACCAUAUGUUCAAAACGAUCAUAUAUAUAAAUAUAAGACAGGAAGGACAUGCACCCAAAUGAUAACAGAGGUUAUCUCUGAGAGAUAGGGUUAUAGAUUAUUUUUUCCAUCAUGCUUGUGGGUUUGUGUGUGUGCUUUACACAUUUUCUGCACUUCACAAGUAUGUUUUUGUGGCUAGGCAGAAAUAACGUUAUAUUUAAAUAUGACCCAUUGUGCUUAGGCUAAGCACCUUACUGCCCUCUUUCCUUCUGGACAGCACUUUCCCAUGAGGCUUUCUGAUCCUUCAUGCAAACAGCCCCACAGAGACUCACCCCACAAGCCUCUCAGACAGGCAUACACAUGUCUGAAUCUACAGAGAGGCUGAGACAGGCCUGUUGGGGUGCAGUCUUCUCUGAGGGCACUGUAGGACGGGAUAUGAUGAUUUAAAUGCCCCUCCCCAACUUCCACCUCCUCUCCCAGGGGUUGUUCAGGGAAUCCACACCCUUGUGGAAGGAGUCGGAUGGACAGGAAUUGAGUCCCUGACUUUGCCAGGUACAAGCCAUGUGACUCUAGGCAAGUUAUUUCGUCUCUCUGCUCAAUCUUCACAUCCCUAAAAUGGAGAUAACACUGGAGUUAUAGCACAGUGAUCUUCUGGAGCCAGUAAGAAGAUGUAUGUGAAGUGUGGAUGCCAGUCUGGCAUGAGGUGACUCAGCAAGAGCCUGGGCUGACCCCCUGGGCUGAGACCACGUGGAGCAGAGGCCCAUCAACCAACAGCGAGCCCUACUGACAGAUGCAGUUGUGAGUCUGUCCUGGAUCAUCCAGCCCCAGCCAGGAUUGUAGAGACCAGCUAAACCAGUUCAGAUGGAACUGCCCAACUUAACUACAGAUCUGAGAGAAAUAAUACACAUUUAUGGUUGUGAGCCACUCACGCUCAGUGAGGUCUGUUGCAAAGCAACAGCUAAGUGAGACCCGGUAAAGACAGAUGGCUUUUAAUCAGGUGACCAGGUUUGGACCAGGUCCCUUGGGGACCCAGUUCUUUAAAGAUGCUCUGGAUUUCUUCAGAGGAAGCUGUUUGGGGCCAACCGAACUUCUUCCCUGAGAAGCCUCAGUGGGACUUCCCCUCACACAGGCUUGUCUUCCUGAUGCCCUCUUUUGCUAUUCUGAAACCAAAGGUGGUAAUGGAUAGCUUAUGAAUGAGGGCUAAAAUUCUGCCAAUUAAUUGCAUUGAAUGAAGUUUGUAAACAUUGUGAAUGGAAAUUUUAGCACUGUCAACAAGUAUUUACUGACUACCCACUACGUGGUAGAUAUUGUGGGAAUAUUUUUGAGUACAGCGGUAGGCUGCAAAACCAGCCCCAGCUCUCUAUCCAUCCCUGUAUCUGUGUUCCUUGCAAUGUGACUUUGCUGCUCCUGCCAUCAGGAGAUUGAAUAAGGGUGUUGCUGUGACUUGGUUUAGUCAAUACAACUAUGGAAGUGACACAGUCCAGGUUCUGACUUCGGCCUUGAGAGACCUGCAUGAUUCCAGUCUUGCUCAUGGAACCCUGCAGCUGCAUGUGAACCAGCCUGGACUAGCCUGCUGAUGUAUGAGGAACAUGUGGCCUCACGUUACCUCAGUUGAUAGUCACCUGCAAGAAGCAGAGCCUCUGGCUGCCUAGCAACUACCCCAGAAGCAUGAGCGGGUCCAGCUGAGUCCAGAAGAACUACCCAGACGAGCCCAACCUAAAAUCCUGACCCACAAGAAUCAUGAAAUAAACUAAUAUGUUUUAAAGCCACCCCUAAGUUCUGGGGUAUUCUAUCAUGCAGGAAAAAAAAAAAAAAAACCCAAACUAAAAAUAUACUGAUUGAUACAAGCACUUAGCACACGCCAAACUCUGGCUCUGGUUUAUUUGAAAGCAGGCAGAGUCUUGGGAGCAAAGACCUGUACAAAUGUGCCAUACUGGGUGUGAUGCAGAAAGUGCUGUGGAGAGCAAACUCACCAGGAAUAGAAGAGAUGGCAUGUGAGAUGGGGAGGAAUCAUGUCCCUGUGGAGUAGGCUGGUCCAGGAUGAAAUUCCUGAGAGAGGAGAAUGAGUGAACAUGGGAAGAACAUGGGAAAUUCCAGGCUGGGGCCAUUGGUGGUAUUUACCGAGCACUUAGCUUGUGCAUGGAAGCAUUACACAGGCCACCCCAGGUCUGCAUGAGGCCAAGCAGGGGAGAGAAGACAGCCAUAUUGCUGUAGCAGAAAUUAGUAGAGGCACCCCAUUACGUUAGUCCGUUUUCAGCUCUUACUCUUCUGCCCAUACAAUCAGUCUCCUACAGAUGUUUUGUUCCCCCUCUCUUGCUUAAUUGUACUCUGAAAAUGAUUGCUUUCUAGCCAAAGUUGUCCUAUGUACCUAAUGUUUACUUCUUGAAGACAACACUCCCUAACACUCCUUUUCUUUGUGAGUAUUCUUCAUGCCAGAAGGAAGGUCACACAAUGAUGACCUCAAGGACCACCAGAACCUGUUCUGGAACCACCUGCCGCCAGCCCUAAUGAUCUCAAUGUCUCUAGGAGGAAAGAAGAAUGCAAGACUACAUCAGUCCCGAUCCUUAUCGACAGCCUGUUUUCCACUCUGAAGCUACAAGACCAUUUCCUGUUUCCCAGGAAGUAAGGCACAAUCUUG